UACAGAGGUGGCAAGCGUUGUUCGGAAUUACUGGGCGUAAAGGGCGCGUAGGCGGCCAUCUAAGUCAGACGUGAAAUCCCCCGGCUUAACCUGGGAACUGCGUCUGAUACUGGAAGGCUUGAGUAUGGGAGAGGGAUGUAGAAUUCCAGGUGUAGCGGUGAAAUGCGUAGAUAUCAGGAGGAACACCGAUGGCGAAGGCAGUGUUCUGGGCCAGUACUGACGCUGAGGAGCGAAAGCGUGGGGAGCAAACAGG
Molecule: ribosomal RNA, 253 nt
Filed under: uncultured bacterium
Lineage: Bacteria
Description: partial 16S ribosomal RNA
Rfam family: Bacterial small subunit ribosomal RNA
Source: RNAcentral